RNAcentral lists this ribosomal RNA (468 nucleotides) under uncultured bacterium. RNAcentral's name for it is "partial 16S ribosomal RNA". It matches the Rfam family "Bacterial small subunit ribosomal RNA", at positions 28 to 507 of the family's 1533-position model. The record is from RNAcentral.
GAUGAACGCUGGCGGCGUGCCUAAUACAUGCAAGUCGAGCGGACAGACGCGGAGUUUGUUGGUCUGUCGUUAGGGGCAGACGGGUGAAUAACACGUGUAAACCCUCCUUAACUUUCGGGUAUAACUUGGAAACACGGGAGCUAAUACGGGAUGAGAUAUUGAACCACGUGGGGGAGUGGAAAAUUUCGGCGGUGGGGGCUGGUAUCGCGGGUUAUCCGCUGGAUGGGGAGGUUGUGGAUGACAAGGGGUUUGACGGGUAGGCGGCCUGGGAGGGUGGCCGGCCACAUUGGUACUGAGAUACGGCGCAGACUGCUACGGGAGGCAGCAGUGGGGAAUAUUGCGGAAUGGGCGGAAGCCUGAUGCAGCAAUGCCGCGUGCGGGAUGACGGCCUUCGAGUUGUAAACCGCUUUCGCCUGUGACGAAGCGUGAGUGACGGUAAUGGGUAAAGAAGCACCGGCUAACUACGUG